RNAcentral lists this ribosomal RNA (497 nucleotides) under uncultured bacterium. RNAcentral describes it as "partial 16S ribosomal RNA". It matches the Rfam family "Bacterial small subunit ribosomal RNA", at positions 28 to 507 of the family's 1533-position model. The record is from RNAcentral.
GAUGAACGCUGGCGGCGUGCCUAAUACAUGCAAGUCGAGCGAACGGACGAGAAGCUUGCUUCUCUGAUGUUAGCGGCGGACGGGUGAGUAACACGUGGAUAACCUACCUAUAAGACUGGGAUAACUUCGGGAAACCGGAGCUAAUACCGGAUAAUAUUUUGAACCGCAUGGUUCAAAAGUGAAAGACGGUCUUGCUGUCACUUAUAGAUGGAUACGCGCUGCAUUAGCUAGUUGGUAAGGUAACGGCUUACCAAGGCAACGAUGCAUAGCCGACCUGAGAGGGUGAUCGGCCAAAAGGGAACUGAGACACGGUCCAGAAUCCUACGGGAGGCAGCAGUAGGGAAUCUUCCGCAAUGGGCGAAAGCCUGACGGAGCAACGCCGCGUGAGUGAUGAAGGUCUUCGGAUCGUAAAACUCUGUUAUUAGGGAAGAACAUAUGUGUAAGUAACUGUGCACAUCUUGACGGUACCUAAUCAGAAAGCCACGGCUAACUACGUG